CUACCAGUGACUGUGAGUUAUUUGUAACGGAGAACGUUGAUAAUGUAACGAAGUAUGAAAAUACGGCUCAAUUAUAACACCUUUCUCGAUGCGAACUAUAAAUAGUCGAUAUAAAGGAUGUCGAAUAUAAAGGACUUAGCCAGGUGGUGAAAUUUUAAACGACAGAAUUACCGAUGGAACUAGUCAAUCUCCAUCAGAUUUCAAUUAACAAUGCAGAACUGUGGAGGAGGAGGAGGAGGUAGGAGCGUAACGUCUAUUCCAAUUGAACAAGCAGCAAUCCAUCUUUUUCAAUCAUUUGACCGGCGACUGGAUGCCGCAUCCGCAUUGCUAAUUACCGAUUAACCGGAAUCGGCGUCGAUUAACGGCUGGCAUCAGUAUCCGUCGUCGGCAUCCGAACGAUCGAACGCCGCGUUUCUCGUUGUCUCCCCGAAGGCGAAGGCGGCAAUGAGAAAUCUUUUAAUUAAAGAUCUCGCGAGAUAAGAAUGUAUCCCUUGCCCCCAUCGCGGUAUCCGUCUACCAGGACUCGGAUGGGAAGAACAUUCCUUCAGUGAUCACGGUGGACCAAUCAGGUGGAGGUUACAGCGGCAAAAACCACCGAGAACAAAGCGUUCAAUUAAAUGCUCAUCCUCGACUGGCUCCGGCUACAACUGAGAAAUCAACUUGACGCCGAUCCACGAGAUCAACCAAGCCGCUACAAGAAAUGGGCCAGGCUGUUUCGAGCGUGUUCCACCCGUGAUUUUCUGAAUGUUUCGGAUUGUUCGUGAAAUUGAAUUCUCCGGGAAGCCGCGUGUAUGCUUGCGGUCAGCGUUGUUUGGAGAAUCAUGCUUCAGAAGAGCAGAGAUGUUCGAUCAUGUGCACUACACUUUUACCCUCCAUCCAGUCGACGCAACUUCAUAACGUGACGCAUAAAAUAUCGUCGUUCGUGGAAUCAACAGGUGAAUCGAGGGGACACGGUGUUUGUAGUAAACGGGUUAAACGGCAAUGGAAAAUAGAGUCAACGAGAUGCGGCUGAGAUAACGCGCAGGGAAUGACUGACGUGGCCAGGCGAGAUUACGUCCUGGCUUUAAAAGGACGACGCACCCCAUCCGGUGUGCUGGUACUCGCCUAUCGGUUACGUGACACGGUCACGCUCGUGAACGUCGAAUUUGAAUACAAGCGAGACGCUUCAAUGGACUCUCUCCCUCGCUACCUGAAUUAUCUACGGUUACCUAGCAUCCUUUUAUUGAGUUCGCGUUUAUACCAGCCGUACGAGAUUCCAGCUUGUCUGAACGUUUCUUCUGGUACUGGAGUUUCUUCCAUGGUACUAUCUGUCUGACAAGUGAUUUUAUAACUAUCCGCUGUAGCGAUACAAAACUAAUUGUACGUACAAUUUCUGCUUACUCUAUUGAGAGCAUAUUACGUAUGAUUUUUA
Long non-coding RNA from Frieseomelitta varia, 1411 nucleotides. RefSeq lists it as uncharacterized. The record is from RefSeq and is a predicted model, not a curated record. The transcript has 4 exons. Lineage: Eukaryota; Metazoa; Arthropoda; Insecta; Hymenoptera; Apidae.